UAAAGCGCAUGCAGGUGGUUUGUUAAGUCAGGAUGUGAAAGCCCGGGGCUCAACCUCGGAAUUGCAUUUGAAACUGGCAAACUAGAGUACUGUAGAGGGGGUAGAAUUUCAGGUGUAGCGGUGAAAUGCGUAGAGAUCUGAAGGAAUACCGGUGGCGAAGGCGGCCCCCUGGACAGAUACUGACACUCAGAUGCGAAAGCGUGGGGAGCAAACAGGAUUAGAUACCCUGGUAG
Molecule: ribosomal RNA, 233 nt
Filed under: uncultured bacterium
Lineage: Bacteria
Description: partial 16S ribosomal RNA
Rfam family: Bacterial small subunit ribosomal RNA
Source: RNAcentral